CGAAGCGGUGAAUUCAAGCCCCGGUAAACGGCGGUGGUAACUAUAACCAUCCUAAGGUAGCGAAAUUCCUUGUCGGGUAAGUUCCGACCUGCACGAAUGGCGUAACGACUUCCCCACUGUCUCGACCAGGAGCUCGGCGAAAUUGCAGUACGAGUAAAGAUGCUCGUUAAGCGCAGAAGGACGAAAAGACCCCGGGACCUUUACUAUACCUUGGUAUUGGCGUUAGGCGCGGAUUGUGUAGCAUAGGCGGGAGGCUUUGAAACGGUGGCGCCAGCCAUCGCGGAGCCGCAAGGUGAAAUACCGCUCUGUUCUCGUUUGACGUCUAACCUCGACAAGUCAUCCUUGUCAGGGACAGUGCCUGGCGGGUAGUUCAACUGGGGCGGUUGCCUCCCAAAGAGUAACGGAGGCGCUCAAAGGUCCGCUCAGCCCGGUUGGCAAUCGGGUGUCGAGUGUAAUCGCACAAGCGGGCUUGACUGCGAGGACGACGGUCCGAGCAGGGACGAAAGUCGGAGAUAGUGAUCCGGUGCCGGCGCACGGGCGCGGCAUCGCUCAACGGAUAAAAGGUACCCCGGGGAUAACAGGCUGAUCAUUCCCAAGAGUCCAUAUCGACGGGAUGGUUUGGCACCUCGAUGUCGGCUCGUCGCAUCCUGGGGCUGGAGCAGGUCCCAAGGGUUCGGCUGUUCGCCGAUUAAAGCGGCACGCGAGCUGGGUUCAGAACGUCGUGAGACAGUUUGGUCUCUAUCCUCUGCGCUCGUUGGAAUCCUGAGGAGGCCUGCCCAUAGUACGAGAGGACCUGGGUGGACGAACCUCUGGUAUGCCGGUUGUCGCGCCAGCGGCACGGCCGGUUGGCUACGUUCGGGAGGGAUAACCGCUGAAAGCAUCUAAGCGGGAAGCCUGCUCCAAGAUUAGGAUUCCGUACAGUCUUGAACUGUUGUAGCCCGCAUGUUGAACACGUGUUUGAUAGGCCGGAGGUGGAAGCCCCGUGAGGGGUGGAGCCGACCGGUACUAACGGGCGACGGCGACAUAAC
Molecule: ribosomal RNA, 1028 nt
Filed under: human gut metagenome
Description: bacterial LSU rRNA
Rfam family: Bacterial large subunit ribosomal RNA
Source: RNAcentral